GCGGCUACUGCUAUCAGGUUUCGACUAAGCCAUGCGAGUCAAGGGGUCGUAAGACACCGGCGUACUGCUCAGUAACACGCGGACAAUCUACCCCCAGGUGGAGGAUAACCUCGGGAAACUGAGGCUAAUACCCCAUAGUUGUCAUGUGCUGGAAUGCUUUGACGACGAAAGAAUUUCGCCUGAGGAUGAGUCUGCGGCCUAUCAGGUAGUAUGUGGUGUAAAGGACCACAUAGCCUAAGACGGGUACGGGCCUUGAAAGAGGGAGCCCGGAGAUGGACUCUGAGACACUAGCCCAGGCCCUACGGGGCGCAGCAGGCGCGAAAACUGUGCAAUGCGCGCAAGCGCGACACGGGAAGCCUGAGUGCCUUAACUAUGUUAAGGCUUUUCUUGAUCCUAAAAAGCUCAAGGAAUAAGAGCUGGGUAAGACGGGUGCCAGCCGCCGCGGUAACACCCGCGGCUCGAGUGGUAGUCACUUUUAUUGAGCCUAAAGCGUUUGUAGCCGGAUUUGUAAAUCUCUAGGAAAAUACUUCUGCUUAACUGAAGAAAUUUUGGAGAGACUGCAAAUCUAGGGACCGGGUGAGGUUGAAUGUACUUCUGGGGUAGGGGUAAAAUCCUGUAAUCCUGGAAGGACGACCGGUGGCGAAGGCGUUCAACUAGAACGGAUCCGACGGUGAGGAACGAAGGCUAGGGGAGCAAACCGGAUUAGAUACCCGGGUAGUCCUAGCUGUAAACACUGCCCACUUGGUGUUGCAUCUCCGGUAAGGGGGUGCAGUGCCGUAGCGAAGGUGUUAAGUGGGCCGCUUGGGGAGUAUGGUCGCAAGGCUGAAACUUAA
RNAcentral lists this ribosomal RNA (833 nucleotides) under archaeon enrichment culture. Its description in RNAcentral is "bacterial SSU rRNA". It matches the Rfam family "Archaeal small subunit ribosomal RNA", at positions 20 to 859 of the family's 1478-position model. The record is from RNAcentral.